Molecule: ribosomal RNA, 254 nt
Filed under: uncultured bacterium
Lineage: Bacteria
Description: partial 16S ribosomal RNA
Rfam family: Bacterial small subunit ribosomal RNA
Source: RNAcentral
UACGUAGGGUGCAAGCGUUGUCCGGAUUUAUUGGGCGUAAAGAGCUCGUAGGCGGUUUUGAAAGUCAGGUGUGAAACCUCCAGGCUCAACCUGGAGACGCCACUUGAUACUUCAAUGACUAGAGUUUGGUAGGGGUGAGUGGAAUUCCUGGUGUAGCGGUGAAAUGCGCAGAUAUCAGGAGGAACACCGAUGGCGAAGGCAGCUCACUGGGCCAAUACUGACGCUGAGGAGCGAAAGCGUGGGGAGCGAACAGG